AAAAAAACAAACCAUGGGUUUCCGCGUCCAACUUUAACUGUCCGUCUUAUAUGAAAUUUUUUUAUAAUUCGUAUUUUCAUUGCUGUUAGAUGAUAAAACAUGAUUAAUAUUUUAUACGCGACUUGUCUUUUUCAUUUUUUCAUAAUUUUUUCAAAUAAGACGAACGGUCAAACGUUGGGCACGGAAACCAUGGUUUGUCUUUUU
Molecule: non-coding RNA, 204 nt
Organism: Oryza glaberrima (African rice)
Lineage: Eukaryota; Viridiplantae; Streptophyta; Magnoliopsida; Poales; Poaceae
Source: Rfam